Molecule: long non-coding RNA, 372 nt
Filed under: Nicotiana benthamiana
Lineage: Eukaryota; Viridiplantae; Streptophyta; Magnoliopsida; Solanales; Solanaceae
Description: long non-coding RNA (NBEN_LNC039762)
Source: RNAcentral
AUAAAAAAGAACCUACAAUAAGGUUUUCUUCCUUAAACACUAACCCGGCCAAGACUCACCAAUAAGGUAACUCCGCCCUGUGUUUUUUGGAUCAAAUCCGGUGACAAUUCUCCACUCAUGUCAACCCGGCCAGUUCCCCGUUCUCCUUCCUUAUACUUAUAGGCUGCCGUAAAUGAUAAAGCUUCCAUAGCGGAACCCGAUCUUUAGAGAUUAGACAAGAACUGGGCUUUGCUUUCGUCACUAUAGUACAAACCCCAGAAUUUGCACCUGUAUUAAGGAAAUCUUUUUCAAUAGUCAAUCAAGGCCGAGUCUCACUCCUGUAGGUGGUGUGACCGUAGCUAUGGAAUCAGGUCCGGCUGUGACCGAGUCAGG